GAUGCAAUUAACUUUAGUAUAUUUAGUAUGGGUUGCCUCAUUCUCACCUUCCUUCUCUACUCUCUUCUUCCUCAACUACGAGAUUUGACCGGAAGAUUUAUUCUCUCAAUCUGCGCCUUCCUCACAGCUAGUUACUCGCUCAGGUUGGUUGAUAUAUAU
Molecule: long non-coding RNA, 159 nt
Organism: Eurytemora carolleeae
Lineage: Eukaryota; Metazoa; Arthropoda; Copepoda; Calanoida; Temoridae
Exons: 3
Source: RefSeq, a predicted model, not a curated record